This 29-nucleotide non-coding RNA is filed under the name Mus musculus (house mouse). Lineage: Eukaryota; Metazoa; Chordata; Mammalia; Rodentia; Muridae. The record is from RNAcentral.
UCCUUGUAGAACACGUAGGGAAGUGUUUA